This is a long non-coding RNA of Astatotilapia calliptera (eastern happy), 1719 nucleotides long. The record is from Ensembl. NCBI's taxonomy places the organism in Eukaryota, Metazoa, Chordata, Actinopteri, Cichliformes, Cichlidae.
AUUUAAGUUAAGUCAAUUAGGAUCGAUAUACCUUGUAUAUCCACAAGGUGGCAGUAAUGCAAAAACAGUUGUAAUGAAACCGCGAAGAACAAGAAGGUUUCACGGCUUGGGCCUGCUCAUGCGCAAGACUUCAAAUUUAACUUAAAAACGUUGUUUUGGCGCCAAGCUGCUGUUUCUUUGAGAGGUAAGACCAUUUUUUUUCUUUGACUAUGUUGUGUAGUAUCUAUAUGUCGAGCAUGGUUAUAUUUUGCGUUUGUCUUACAAGACAUGUUAUAUUGUUUGCGUGCGCUUGUUCUACAUUAGUUUUACUGGGUCCUGGACAUGCUUAUUUUGUGGACUGUGUAAGAAACAUUUUUAUUGUUUUUUGUUUUAUUGAGGGAUAAGCUACAGGGGUUCAUGGGGUUAUUUUUCCAUUUGCUUUCUUGGGAUUCCUUUACUGUAAUCCGAGAGUCGGAAAUAUCGAAUAGGAUAGCAAGGAUAGCAUAAAGUGACAUUUAAAAUCCAUAAAGUCAAGGGCGAAAGCCACUGUGACACCAUUGUUAUGCUCUAUCAGUAAUCGAUAUUAUGUAAAAAUCGUCUGUAAAUACAGCAUGUUUCCUAGCGGAGUUAUACAUAUCAAAAGAGUUAUAAAUUACAGUUUGUUAAAUCACACACUUAAUUUUUUAAAUAAAAUUAUUCAAGACAUAUGAGUGGACAGACAAUGGAGGUCGACAGACCUGGUGAUAAUUGCUUCUAUAGAAAGUUUGCACAUGGCAGUGUCAAUCUCUUGCUUUUCUUCUGAGUAGUAUUUUAUUUAGUUGUAAUUCAAACAAUAAUUUGCUUCUUGAAAUUAAGUAAUGAAUUUCUUGUUUUACUUUAUAAAUUUCAGAUCCAGGCCUCCCUCCUAUACUGAUGUGGUGUAUGUGGUACUGCUGAGCUUGUAUGUGGUGGAAGCAGAAUAUGUGAGGGUUACUACUGCUGCACUUGUUCCAAGGCUUUUUACACGACGUGACCAAUACACUGACCAGCUCAUAAAAGUCAUCAAGAAAAAAGGAGGCGCUGCAGUGAAGAAAAUUAGACAAACUUUGGCCCCUGCCACACAGAAGGAAACUAUUGAAAAGGGGAGGGAGUGUGUCCUCAGGGCACUACCUUUUGACCUGAAUGAAGACCCAAGCAUCCUCUUCAAAGAAUAAUUGCUACAGCUGUUCAGAGGGAGCUGGAACAAAUUACCCUUGCUAUCUUUACCAUCGAAAGAGCUGAUGCCAGCACUCCUCCAGCCGAGGUGGGUAUAACCACAGUGUGUGUCCUGCAUGACCUGGAAGACCUGGCCUCUGCAUGUGCACUCUUAAUGGGUGGGAUAUAUGCACUGAAUCUCAGUUAACCUCGAGACUGACAGCUUUCUUUGAAGUACUUCAGAAGCUCUUCCUUCAUCUGUAUGUCAGCAGACUCUUGACCAAGGUACAGUUGCUCAAGAAUACACUGAAUGAAUAAGCCAACCCUUAAUUUGGAUGAUGAAUGUUCUGUCAGAUGGACAGAAGUUUUUCGGAGGCUGAAUGGGAAUAAAAUGGUAAUUUGUAAAUGACAGAUAAAGGGAAAAUUACAUUUAAGAGAAAUUUAAAACAUUUUGAAAAGUUUGUAAACUACUACAAUUUGAGAGAUUUUACUCUUGUGGGGGGCUAGUAAGAGACCAUCAAAAGUAUUGAGAUUUAAAGGAUUUAAUUGAGAGAUGAUACUGCACCA